ACUCCUACGGGAGGCAGCAGUGGGGAAUAUUGCACAAUGGGCGCAAGCCUGAUGCAGCCAUGCCGCGUGUGUGAAGAAGGCCUUCGGGUUGUAAAGCACUUUCAGCGGGGAGGAAGGCAAUGCGGUUAAUAACCGUGUUGAUUGACGUUACCCGCAGAAGAAGCACCGGCUAACUCCGUGCCAGCAGCCGCGGUAAUACGGAGGGUGCAAGCGUUAAUCGGAAUUACUGGGCGUAAAGCGCACGCAGGCGGUCUGUCAAGUCGGAUGUGAAAUCCCCGGGCUCAAUCUGGGAACUGCAUUCGAAACUGGCAGGCUUGAGUCUUGUAGAGGGGGGUAGAAUUCCAGGUGUAGCGGUGAAAUGCGUAGAGAUCUGGAGGAAUACCGGUGGCGAAGGCGGCCCCCUGGACAAAGACUGACGCUCAGGUGCGAAAGCGUGGGGAGCAAACAGGAUUAGAAACCCUGGUAGUCCCAUG
Molecule: ribosomal RNA, 473 nt
Filed under: uncultured organism
Description: partial 16S ribosomal RNA
Rfam family: Bacterial small subunit ribosomal RNA
Source: RNAcentral